RNAcentral lists this long non-coding RNA (915 nucleotides) under Chrysemys picta bellii (western painted turtle). RNAcentral's name for it is "lncRNA (ENSCPBG00000017705.1)". Lineage: Eukaryota; Metazoa; Chordata; Testudines; Emydidae. The record is from RNAcentral.
UCAGUCUAAUCUUCCUAUGUGUCUAGACCCACCAUGUAUAUGACUGUCUAUCAAACGAUGGGCUGGUAGUGCAUGCCUGCAUCUCUUCUACAUGUCCCCUGCCUUUCUACCUUUAGACAUUCCUGACUGCAGGGGACUUCUGGGUUCUAUUCUAGGUUCUGCCACUGGCUCACUGUGUGGCCAUGUAUAUGUCACUUAACUGUUGUCUUAAUUUUCCUUUCUGUACAAUGGGGAUAAAAUCAUGAGGCUUCAUUAGUGCAUUGUGAGACCCUCAGUGCUGUAAUGUGCAAAGUGUUAUCAUUAGGUGGUGUAACACCCCUUCGGUCCCACGCAUUGCUCAGUGCGGUGCAGCCUGAUUGCAUCCAUCCUAACCAAGGGGCUCAGAAUGGCUAACUCUCUGCUGCUCGUUCCCAGAUCGCACUUCCAGCCACUACCCCGUCUAUCAGAAGCAGCAUCUAUACAACAGCAAUCCUGGCUGGGAUUUUGGUCCUUUCCGAAGACUGGACCACCUUAUUCGGGAGACUCACCUCAACAUCUCCAGGUUUGCCCAUGUUUUCCUAGAUCCUGGGAGAUACGUUUUUAGGGAUAGCACCAUCCAGGAGCGUAUCUUGAUCGUGGCUGUAAACGAGGAGAACAUGGGCUGUGACCCUGUCAACGCUUCCUUCCAGCCCUCCUCUCCAUACCAGCUGGCCAGACACGGGGUUCUGAAACAUCGGGCACUAAAUUUAGCUCCUGACUGGGCAACUAUCUCAGCGGUGCUCUUUGUCCUGGGCUGCUUGACAGUUGUGCUGAUGACCCUGGCUAUCAUGCUGAGGCCCCCCAUUUCCAGCCCCAGUCCCAUGAACAACUGGAAGCCACGGUGGAGGAGCCUGGGUGAGCCACACAUCCCACCCGAGUACAUCUUCAUUAAAGACA